AUUGAACGCUGGCGGCAGGCCUAACACAUGCAAGUCGAACGGUAGCACAGAGAGCUUGCUCUCGGGUGACGAGUGGCGGACGGGUGAGUAACGUCUGGGAAACUGCCCGAUGGAGGGGGAUAACUACUGGAAACGGUAGCUAAUACCGCAUAACGUCGCAAGACCAAAGUGGGGGACCUUCGGGCCUCACACCAUCGGAUGUGCCCAGAUGGGAUUAGCUAGUAGGUGGGGUAAUGGCUCACCUAGGCGACGAUCCCUAGCUGGUCUGAGAGGAUGACCAGCCACACUGGAACUGGGACACGGUCCAGACUCCUACGGGAGGCAGCAGUGGGGAAUAUUGCACAAUGGGCGCAAGCCUGAUGCAGCCAUGCCGCGUGUAUGAAGAAGGCCUUCGGGUUGUAAAGUACUUUCAGCGGGGAGGAAGGCGGUGAAGUUAAUAACUUCACCGAUUGACGUUACCCGCAGAAGAAGCACCGGCUAACUCCGCGCCAGCCGCCGCAGUAA
This 504-nucleotide ribosomal RNA is filed under the name uncultured bacterium. RNAcentral describes it as "partial 16S ribosomal RNA". It matches the Rfam family "Bacterial small subunit ribosomal RNA", at positions 30 to 523 of the family's 1533-position model. The record is from RNAcentral.